Molecule: ribosomal RNA, 248 nt
Filed under: uncultured Candidatus Hydrogenedens sp.
Lineage: Bacteria; Pseudomonadati; Candidatus Hydrogenedentota; Candidatus Hydrogenedentia; Candidatus Hydrogenedentales; Candidatus Hydrogenedentaceae
Description: partial 16S ribosomal RNA
Rfam family: Bacterial small subunit ribosomal RNA
Source: RNAcentral
CACGCCGUAAACGUUGUGCACUAGGUGUGGGAGGACAUCGACCCCUUCCGUGCCGUAGCUAACGCAUUAAGUGCACCGCCUGGGGAGUACGCCCGCAAGGGUGAAACUCAAAGGAAUUGACGGGGGCCCGCACAAGCGGUGGAGCAUGUGGUUUAAUUCGAUGCAACGCGAAGAACCUUACCCAGGCUUGACAUCCCGCGCAACCCUUGGAAACAAGGGGUUCCCUUCGGGGACGCGGUGACAGGUGU